This 1369-nucleotide ribosomal RNA is filed under the name uncultured bacterium. RNAcentral describes it as "bacterial SSU rRNA". It matches the Rfam family "Bacterial small subunit ribosomal RNA", at positions 28 to 1381 of the family's 1533-position model. The record is from RNAcentral.
GACGAACGCUGGCGGCGUGCCUAAUACAUGCAAGUAGAACGCUGAAGAGAGGAGCUUGCUCUUCUUGGAUGAGUUGCGAACGGGUGAGUAACGCGUAGGUAACCUGCCUGGUAGCGGGGGAUAACUAUUGGAGACGAUAGCUAAUACCGCAUAAAAUUGAUUAUUGCAUGAUAAUUAAUUGAAAGAUGCAACUGCAUCACUACCAGAUGGACCUGCGUUGUAUUAGCUAGUUGGUGAGGUAACGGCUCACCAAGGCGACGAUACAUAGCCGACCUGAGAGGGUGAUCGGCCACACUGGGACUGAGACACGGCCCAGACUCCUACGGGAGGCAGCAGUAGGGAAUCUUCGGCAAUGGGGGGAACCCUGACCGAGCAACGCCGCGUGAGUGAAGAAGGUUUUCGGAUCGUAAAGCUCUGUUGUAAGAGAAGAACGGGUGUGAGAGUGGAAAGUUCACACUGUGACGGUAUCUUACCAGAAAGGGACGGCUAACUACGUGCCAGCAGCCGCGGUAAUACGUAGGUCCCGAGCGUUGUCCGGAUUUAUUGGGCGUAAAGCGAGCGCAGGCGGUUAGAUAAGUCUGAAGUUAAAGGCUGUGGCUUAACCAUAGUAUGCUUUGGAAACUGUUUAACUUGAGUGCAGAAGGGGAGAGUGGAAUUCCAUGUGUAGCGGUGAAAUGCGUAGAUAUAUGGAGGAACACCGGUGGCGAAAGCGGCUCUCUGGUCUGUAACUGACGCUGAGGCUCGAAAGCGUGGGGAGCAAGCAGGAUUAGAUACCCUGGUAGUCCACGCCGUAAACGAUGAGUGCUAGGUGUUAGGCCCUUUCCGAGGCUUAGUGCCGCAGCUAACGCAUUAAGCACUCCGCCUGGGGAGUACGACCGCAAGGUUGAAACUCAAAGGAAUUGACGGGGGCCCGCACAAGCGGUGGAGCAUGUGGUUUAAUUCGAAGCAACGCGAAGAACCUUACCAGGUCUUGACAUCCCUCUGACCGCUCUAGAGAUAGAGUUUUCCUUCGGGACAGAGGUGACAGGUGGUGCAUGGUUGUCGUCAGCUCGUGUCGUGAGAUGUUGGGUUAAGUCCCGCAACGAGCGCAACCCCUAUUGUUAGUUGCCAUCAUUCAGUUGGGUACUCUAGCGAGACUGCCGGUAAUAAACCGGAGGAAGGUGGGGAUGACGUCAAAUCAUCAUGCCCCUUAUGACCUGGGCUACACACGUGCUACAAUGGCUGGUACAACGAGUCGCAAGCCGGUGACGGCAAGCUAAUCUCUGAAAGCCAGUCUCAGUUCGGAUUGUAGGCUGCAACUCGCCUACAUGAAGUCGGAAUCGCUAGUAAUCGCGGAUCAGCACGCCGCGGUGAAUACGUUCCCGGGCCU